This 483-nucleotide ribosomal RNA is filed under the name uncultured bacterium. RNAcentral's name for it is "partial 16S ribosomal RNA". It matches the Rfam family "Bacterial small subunit ribosomal RNA", at positions 28 to 507 of the family's 1533-position model. The record is from RNAcentral.
GACGAACGCUGGCGGCGUGCUUAACACAUGCAAGUCGAACGCUGAAGCUCAGCUUUUGUUGGGUGGAUGAGUGGCGAACGGGUGAGUAACACGUGAGUAACCUGCCUCCUUCUUUGGGAUAACGCCCGGAAACGGGUGCUAAUACUGGAUAUUCACUGGUCUUCGCAUGGGGGUUGGUGGAAAGGGUUUUUCUGGUGGGGGAUGGGCUCGCGGCCUAUCAGCUUGUUGGUGGGGUGAUGGCCUACCAAGGCUUUGACGGGUAGCCGGCCUGAGAGGGUGACCGGUCACAUUGGGACUGAGAUACGGCCCAGACUCCUACGGGAGGCAGCAGUGGGGAAUAUUGCACAAUGGGCGCAAGCCUGAUGCAGCGACGCCGCGUGAGGGAUGGAGGCCUUCGGGUUGUGAACCUCUUUCGCUUAUGGUCAAGCCGCAACAAUGGUUGUGGUGAGGGUAGUGGGUAAAGAAGCGCCGGCUAACUACGUG